Molecule: long non-coding RNA, 2090 nt
Organism: Ostrea edulis (European flat oyster)
Lineage: Eukaryota; Metazoa; Mollusca; Bivalvia; Ostreida; Ostreidae
Exons: 2
Source: RefSeq, a predicted model, not a curated record
GUGAACAGUUAACAGAUUGCAGACUAAUAACGGAUGUAUUUUGAUCAAAGAAACUCACAUCAUGCUCACGUGAGUUUUCGGAACAGAUGGACCAAAAAUUCUCAAGAUAUCGCUAUAUACAAUUAUUGGCGUAAAGACGGACGGACGAGCGAAUACAGCAAUGUCUGUUGGGCUCCAAACAUCUUAUAUGCAAGUCUGGAUUAUUUUUAUGCCUGGAACAUUCUUUAUGUCGAUGCCUUUAUUUAUGUACAAUGUGCAAGGGUUUAAGGGGUUUCCAUUCAGUCACACACACGAAAGUCUUGUUAUUAACAAAUUGUGAUCAAGAUCUAGGUCUUUUCAACAUAGUGUACAUGUAACUUUGAAUCAUCUGUAAUAUAUUGUGAAAACUUUGGUAGCGAAUUAAAGUCAUUGUUGGUGGGGGCGAAAAUGCUAUUUUGGUUUUGGAACGACAUGUUUAUCAAAAUUUGCUCGCUUUAUACAAUAUGUCAGUUUGGGGAUACCGUUUAUAGAUCGCAACGAUUUGAUUUUUACACGUGAUUCACGGGUCAUGUGUUGAACACUGCACGCAUUCAAUGAGGAACUUGACGAGAAUAAAAUAAUAAUAAAUUAUCAACGUAAAACAAGUGAAAUAUGUUUUAUUAAUAGCUAUAUUAGAAAGAGUUAUUGGACUUAUAUUGGUGAAUAUUGGCUUUCGUUGGGUGCUCACAUAGUUCGCGCAUCUACACCCACCUCAGGCCAUUAUUCACUGAGUUAAAUAACCGUAUAACAUUAGGCCAAGCCAAUAUUCACUAAUUCAAUAACUGUGUAACAUUAGGCCAAGCCAAUAUUCACAAAGUUCAAUAACUGUAUAACAUUAGACCAAUCCAAUCUUCACUGUGUUCAAUAACCGUGUAACAUUAGGCCAAGCCAAUAUUCACUGUGUUCAAUAACCGUGUAACAUUAGGCCAAGCCAAUAUUCACUGUGUUCAAUAACCGUGUAACAUUAGGCCAAGCCAAUAUUCACUAUGUUCAAUAACCGUAUAACAUUAGACCAAGCCAAUAUUCACUAAUUCAAUAAUUGUGUAACAUUAGGCCAAGCCAAUAUUCACAAAGUUCAAUAACUGUAUAACAUUAGACCACGCCAAUCUUCACUGUGUUCAAUAACCGUGUAACAUUAGACCACGCCAAUCUUCACUGUGUUCAAUAACCGUGUAACAUUAGGCCAAGCCAAUAUUCAUUGUGUUCAAUAACCGUGUAACAUUAGGCCAAGCCAAUAUUCACUAUGUUCAAUAACCGUAUUGUAAUAGAGUGAAUUUUACAUGUUUUUAAUACUUUAUUUCAGGGAUUUUAUUUAUUGAAAAUAAAUUGCUUUAAUUCAAUUUCUUUACAGAGUUUUGAAUUUUGAUAUGAGAAUAAAGUUUUAUCUAAUUGAAAUCAUUAUUAUAACUAUGACUUGUGUUUGUCUUGUUAUUUCAUUACUUAUUAAAUUUUACUGCUUACUAUGCAGAACAGGUUUUUCUUUAGGAUAAUUGUUACUAUUUAUAGAUCACUCUAGCUUGGUCACAUGGUUUUUAGGAGGGAAAUUUCUUUUGAGGACAGGUAUUCUUGUUUUCAUGCUUAAGUGGCACAGAAGGGUUGUUCGAUAAAAGUUUCAUAUAGUAGUUUGUUCUUUACUAGUGGAUUGAUUUAUUGGAUGCAGAUUUAUUGUAUUUGAGCAGGUUAGUAUUAAAGUUAGGAUGCACUAUUUCUUUAUUUUCACUACUUUAUCUUGUCUGAGUGAAUGUUUGAAUGAUAGACAAUAUGAAGAGUGAAUGAUCUUUGCAAGUUUGCACGAAUGCUGUAAAUAAUUGAUAUAUAAUUAAAUAAGAUUCAAAUUAAUGUGUUUAACUUUUAAAGGAGAGAGUGAAUGUAUUACACUUUAUAAAUACGUAAGAGUAAAUAUUCAUUCAUGCAAUAAAUUAUAACUCUACAGUAAAUACCUAUUUUAUUAUAGUUAGAACAUCAACACAUUCUAUAAAGUAGGAGGAUUUCUUAAUGUUUGCACCGACCUUUGCACCUCAUGGGAGGGUCAUGCAACAAUCAUCACCACAAUAAAGAUAAAACCCACGAAA